UUUAGUGGCGAACGGGUGCGUAAUACGUGAGAAUCUGCCCUUAGGAGGAGAAUAACUUCUGGAAACGGUUGCUAAGUCUCCAUAUGCCGAGAGGUGAAAUAGUUUAUACUGCCUAGGGAUGAGCUCACGCCUGAUUAGCUUGUUGGUAAGGUAAUGGCUUACCAAGGCCACGAUCAGUAGCUGGUUUGAGAGAACGAUCAGCCACACUGGGACUGAGACACGGCCCAGACUCCUCCGGGAGGCAGCAGUGAGGAAUUUUCCGCAAUGGGCGAAAGCCUGACGGAGCAAUACCGCGUGAGGGAUGAAGGAUUUUGGUCUGUAAACCUCUUUUCUCAAGAAAGAAGUUCUGACGGUACUUGAGGAAUAAGCAUCGGCUAACUCCGUGCCAGCAGCCGCGGUAAUACGGGGGAUGCAAGCGUUAUCCGGAAUCAUUGGGCGUAAAGCGCCUGUAGGUUGUUUAAUAAGUCUGUUGUUAAAGACUAGGGCUUAACCCUAGGAAAGCAAUGGAAACUGCUAGACUUGAGUAUGAUAGGGGUAGAGGGAAUUUCUAGUGUAGCGGUGAAAUGCGUAGAUAUUAGGA
RNAcentral lists this ribosomal RNA (580 nucleotides) under uncultured Emiliania. RNAcentral describes it as "bacterial SSU rRNA". It matches the Rfam family "Bacterial small subunit ribosomal RNA", at positions 91 to 702 of the family's 1533-position model. Lineage: Eukaryota; Haptophyta; Isochrysidales; Noelaerhabdaceae. The record is from RNAcentral.